GAUGAACGCUGGCGGCGUGCCUAAUACAUGCAAGUCGAGCGAACAGACGAGGAGCUUGCUCCUCUGACGUUAGCGGCGGACGGGUGAGUAACACGUGGAUAACCUACCUAUAAGACUGGGAUAACUUCGGGAAACCGGAGCUAAUACCGGAUAAUAUAUUGAACCGCAUGGUUCAAUAGUGAAAGACGGUUUUGCUGUCACUUAUAGAUGGAUCCGCGCCGCAUUAGCUAGUUGGUAAGGUAACGGCUUACCAAGGCGACGAUGCGUAGCCGACCUGAGAGGGUGAUCGGCCACACUGGAACUGAGACACGGUCCAGACUCCUACGGGAGGCAGCAGUAGGGAAUCUUCCGCAAUGGGCGAAAGCCUGACGGAGCAACGCCGCGUGAGUGAUGAAGGUCCUCGGAUCGUAAAACCCUGUUAUUAGGGAAGAACAAAUGUGUAAGUAACUAUGCACGUCUUGACGGUACCUAAUCAGAAAGCCACGGCUAACUACGUG
RNAcentral lists this ribosomal RNA (497 nucleotides) under uncultured bacterium. Its description in RNAcentral is "partial 16S ribosomal RNA". It matches the Rfam family "Bacterial small subunit ribosomal RNA", at positions 28 to 507 of the family's 1533-position model. The record is from RNAcentral.